RNAcentral lists this ribosomal RNA (253 nucleotides) under uncultured bacterium. RNAcentral describes it as "partial 16S ribosomal RNA". It matches the Rfam family "Bacterial small subunit ribosomal RNA", at positions 524 to 776 of the family's 1533-position model. The record is from RNAcentral.
UACGUAGGGUGCAAGCGUUGUCCGGAAUUAUUGGGCGUAAAGAGCUCGUAGGUGGUCUGUCACGUCGGCUGUGAAAUCCCGAGGCUCAACCUCGGGUCUGCAGUCGAUACGGGCAAACUAGAGUAUUGCAGGGGAGACUGGAAUUCCUGGUGUAGCGGUGAAAUGCGCAGAUAUCAGGAGGAACACCGGUGGCGAAGGCGGGUCUCUGGGCAAUAACUGACGCUGAGGAGCGAAAGCGUGGGGAGCGAACAGG